Long non-coding RNA from Chroicocephalus ridibundus (black-headed gull), 918 nucleotides. RefSeq lists it as uncharacterized. The record is from RefSeq and is a predicted model, not a curated record. The transcript has 3 exons. NCBI's taxonomy places the organism in Eukaryota, Metazoa, Chordata, Aves, Charadriiformes, Laridae.
CUUUUUUUGUCUCCUUGAGCUCCUAGGAGAAGAAAUUCCUCACAGAGUAAGCAAGCCAAGACAGUUUCAUUUGAGACUGGACUACUGUACCAGCUUAUCAAGUUAUUCAACAUUGAAGCAGAUUUAUCAAUUGCAAGGUAUCAAUUAGCCACCUACCUUUUGGGAUCUCUGCUACCACUACCACUUAUUGCUUGGUGAGACCAGACAAGAUAAUUCCAGGCUCAGGAUACACAGCUGGCAAGAAAGUCAAGCCUGAAACAGCAGGCAGUUCAUCCCUGCAUGUAAAUCAAGGCCUACAAGCCACUAGGACAGUUUCUGUGCAGUACCAGCCUGGACCAGGUAAGCUGUACUGCUCACAGGACUGCUUUCUUUGUGUAUACCCCUCUAGGCAACAUCUGAGCUAAAAAGCCCCAAGAAGGUGUGAGCUGACUCCAUACAGCGGCUCCUUCCCCUACCCCCAUAACUUUCUAGAUGCUUUCCAGCAUAGCAGCUUCUUGAGUGUUUAUAAACACGUGUGGUGCCAAACGCAGUCAGCUAUGCAUUCGUGCAAUACUAUCCCCAUAAAGCCUGGGUGGCACCUCAAGUUCUGGGGGAGCCCCCAUACCCAUCAUGGGAGGUACCAAAGUGGCCCAGCCACACAACAGCAGGAGGCACUCACAGUGGUGUCCCCACAACACAUCUUCAGAGCAGACAUCAGGAUUUAUCCAAACUCAAGACACCCCAGCCUCACAGGGCCAUACCUUUGGGGCAUCACUGUGACCUGGACACCCUGCAGCACCGAGCUCUCCCUCCCAACACGCAGCUGCUGGCGAGCCACAUCCCCUUCUCCUCACCCCGCAAGAGCCCCGACGAGGCAGCGGCGGCCCCGGGGCUGUCCCCAACAGGGAGGGCCGCUGCGGCCGGGCAGGUGCGGCGGGA